AGCUGUUAGAUAUGCAACAAGUAUCCAAACAUUGAAACAAAUACACUCAAUGACCAUGUUACAGCAAUUCAAAAGGGUUGGUCUUCUUUUAUCACUGUGAAUCAAAUUUGUUCUUUUCACACACAAAUUUUUCGCUUCACGAAUAAUGCCACAUCAUAUGGAUUAUGGGUAUUGCCCAUUCGGGCACUGUUUAUGAAGUAGUCAGGGAUACCCCUUCACAGCAAUGAGUUCUGAGCCACGGAUGUAUGGAACCAAGCAUUAUGUAUAGCACAUACAAAGGCAAUUCAAAUUGGACCCAGAAUUUACAUUGUUUAUCGAUGUCUCCGAAGGCUACAAAUAUUAUACCCUGCAGGAAUAGGACAACUGUGUACACAGAAGGAAGUACAUCAAGAAAACUGCAUGCCACAAAGCAGGUUACGGUGCUGUGUCAAGAAACCAAAAUACUACCAAUAAUUCAGUGAAGCCUGCUAUUUUCUUCAUCACCCAUGGAAGGGAAGAUGGCAGGUAUCUCCUAAACUCCUGAAUAAUUGAACUUUACUGUUUAACACAGACAAUUGUA
Zootermopsis nevadensis is the source of this 559-nucleotide long non-coding RNA. RefSeq lists it as uncharacterized. Lineage: Eukaryota; Metazoa; Arthropoda; Insecta; Blattodea; Termopsidae. The record is from RefSeq and is a predicted model, not a curated record.